UGUUUGAAGUUCUGAGAUUAACAUUUAUGCAUGGAUAGUUCCAAGCCAGCAAAUUGCAGGGACAAAAAGAUUCGCUUCUCAGGGUACGAUCCCGUCCUGUACUCCUGCCAUAUAUAGCUAGCAAUUAGAAAAGCAACGAAGAUUAAUUCAGCUGUCUGACAGGAUACUAACGAAACAGCGGUUAGUGGUGUGUUCGUGUGUCACAGUGUGUGCAUAUGCAACGCAGUGAUGAUCGAAAGGAGAUGAUGCUUCAAGCGUGCCGAGACAUCGGCACUUCACUUCUUCACCUCCCACGGAUGGUUUUUAGUUUACGGAUUGACUCUUAACAAUUUUGUUGGUAAUUCUGUAUUGCAAGCGGAC
Molecule: long non-coding RNA, 360 nt
Filed under: Setaria italica (foxtail millet)
Lineage: Eukaryota; Viridiplantae; Streptophyta; Magnoliopsida; Poales; Poaceae
Description: long non-coding RNA (SITA_LNC000076)
Source: RNAcentral